Molecule: long non-coding RNA, 2363 nt
Filed under: Homo sapiens (human)
Lineage: Eukaryota; Metazoa; Chordata; Mammalia; Primates; Hominidae
Description: HSALNT0263755
Source: RNAcentral
CCGCUGUUACACAGGAGGCAGUCAGUAGCCACAAAGAAAUGCCAAGAACAGGAGUGCCACAAUCAGAUGCUAGCACUGGACAGCCAUUCUGGGUGCAGCAGGAGAGUGGAUGGGUGGGGUAAAGGAAUGACCCUUUGGCACACGAGGAGACAGGAGCUGGGCAAAGGUGUUAACAGUGGUCUGGGAAAGACAGUCAGCUUCAGGAGAGAGCAAUGAUGUGGACUUAAUGCCCCCUGAAGAUUGUCUGGAUGGGAGCUCUGUGGAUGGCUCCUGUAACUCCCCAGUGCAGGUGAUGCUGCUGGAUGGCUCAGCCUCCACCACUCGCCUGGCCCAGCCUGGUCUUCUUAGGGCUGCCUUCUCCAGAAGGCUAAGGCUGUGGCAGCCAGAAGCACCCCGGGGAUUCCAGCUGCAUCUCACCUGUCCCCCAGUAGGGCGACAAGAGGAGCCAGAAGGAGCCUUACCUCUCCCCAUGCCGGCCCACAGCAGAGCUCGGGCGGGUGAUGUGUCUGCCAAGGUCCACACUGAAACACUCUGCAGUGUGUGCUCCUCCCACACCCCAGGCAGGUGGUGCUGGUGACUGCUACUGUCUGCCUGGCACAUAUUCAUGCCUGGCACUAGGUUGGGCACUUCAAACAUCUUCCCUGCUAGGUGAGGUUUCUAAGAGAUGUCCCUGGGGAUCCUGUCCCCAGAUGGAUUCAAGAACAGAUCCUGAGGCCACGCAGCACAUUACAGCACUCCACCCAAAACGGACCGUCCUCUCCCAUUCUUUCCAGGUGCUAACACAUUACAGAUAACAAACCCAUGUCUCUAAAAUGUAAAUAUGGAAGGGACACAAACCCAACAAGAAAAGGGCUAACAUCCCAACAGGAAAAUAACUAAGGAAAUAAACAUGCUUCUUGAACAGUAAAAAGAUGCUCAACCUUACUCAUAAGAAGAUAUACAUUAAAACUAUGAUGAGAGGCCGGGUGCGGUGGCUCACGCCUGUAAUCCCAGCACUCUGGGAGGCCAAGACGGGUGGAUCACUUGAGGUCAGGAGUUCGAGACCAGCCUGGCCAACAUGGUGAAACCCCAUCUCCACUAAAAAUACAAAAGUUAGCUGGGCAUGGAGGCUCGCGCCUGUAAUCCUAGCUACUUGGGAGACUGAGGCAGGAGAAUUGCUUGAACCUGGGAGGCAGAGGUUGCAAUGAGCCGAGAACAUGACACUGCACUCCAGCCUGGGCAACAGAACGAGACUCCACCAAACUAUAAUGAGAAACCUCUUUCUACCUACUAAUCGGGACAAGAGCCCAGUCUGACCACAUAUUCUGCUGCCAAGCAUGCAAGAAAACAGGCAUUUACACAUUGCUGACGAAAUUCCUCAACAGAGGGCAAUUUGGUGAGUAGCCCCCUCAGCUUACCAAGGCACAUCCCCUCUGACUCAAAAAUCUCACUCUUGGAAAUCUAUCCUUCAAUUACACCUGAGUGAAACAACUUAUGUGCCAGGUUAUUCAGGGUAGUGCUAUUUGUAAUAGCAAAACAUUAGAAACAGUCUAGAUGUCUAUCUGCAGUAAUUAAAUAAAUUAUGGUGUAUCUAUACCAUGGAUCACUUUGCAGUUAUAAAAAACAAUGAAGAUAAUCCUUAUACACUGACACAGGUAUACAGAACAUCAUCUGUAUAUCAGAAAGUGAAAAGAGCAAGAACGGAGCUACAGACACAGAUCUGUAGAUACAGACACUUCCUUCUACAACAAAAACUGCUCCCCCUAAACAGAGACAGAGUAAACAUCCCCCUAUCCUAGGGCUAUCAGUAAUGACAGGCACAGAUCUGGCUGGUGGUGCGGCUGGUUCUCCCUCUAUUCCCUCAAAGUGCUAUCAGAUCCAGGGAUCUUCUCUGUAAUUGUUCUGUAUGAUGCAGUAUCUUUGAUCACCAGUAUUACUCCGCAGGAAUAAAGGGGCUAGGGAGAAGAAUAGGCACAAUGAAAGAAUAUAAAUGGCCAAGGAAUGCUGGCAGAAGUGUUUGGCUUCACUGAAACUCAAAAUUAAAGCAAUCAGAUACAAUAAGGUCAAUAUAAACUAGGCUGUUAUUUAUUAUAGCAAAGCAUUAGAAACAAUCCAAAGUCCCAAUGCAAGUGGAAAAGUUAGAUCCAUGAUUUGCUAUAUGUCACAAUUACAAGUUCUGUUUCUAAUAACAUUGAGAUGCCACGAUAUGAUACAAAGUUAAAGUCUUCAUAAAGCAGAUUGUGUGUUGAUGAGAAUUUUAUAAAAGAACACUCAAAUACUUGUCUUAAAUCUCUGGAAAGAAAUACAUCAAGGCUGGGCACAGUGGCUCAUGCCUGUAAUCUCAGCACUUUGGGAGACCAAUCACUUGAGCUCAGAAAUUCGAG